This 495-nucleotide ribosomal RNA is filed under the name uncultured bacterium. RNAcentral describes it as "bacterial SSU rRNA". It matches the Rfam family "Bacterial small subunit ribosomal RNA", at positions 899 to 1397 of the family's 1533-position model. The record is from RNAcentral.
ACUCAAAGGAAUUGACGGGGGCCCGCACAAGCAGCGGAGCAUGUGGUUUAAUUCGAAGCAACGCGAAGAACCUUACCAAGGCUUGACAUCCCUUGACCGCCAUGGAAACAUGGUUUCCCUUCGGGGCAAGGAGACAGGUGGUGCAUGGUUGUCGUCAGCUCGUGUCGUGAGAUGUUGGGUUAAGUCCCGCAACGAGCGCAACCCCUGUGAACAGUUACCAGUAUUAAGUUAGGGACUCUGUUCAGACUGCCGUGGACAACACGGAGGAAGGUGGGGACGACGUCAAAUCAUCAUGCCCCUUAUGUCUUGGGCUACACACGUGCUACAAUGGCCGCAACAGAGGGCAGCGAAGGAGUAAUUCGGAGCCAAUCUCAAAAAAGCGGUCUCAGUUCGGAUUGUGGGCUGCAACCCGCCCACAUGAAGUUGGAGUUGCUAGUAAUCGCGAAUCAGCAUGUCGCGGUGAAUGCGUUCCCGGGCCUUGUACACACCGCCCGU